This 488-nucleotide ribosomal RNA is filed under the name uncultured bacterium. RNAcentral's name for it is "bacterial SSU rRNA". It matches the Rfam family "Bacterial small subunit ribosomal RNA", at positions 27 to 507 of the family's 1533-position model. The record is from RNAcentral.
GGAUGAACGCUAGCGACAGGCCUAACACAUGCAAGUCGAGGGCAGCACGAAGUAAGCUUGCUUACGUUUGGUGGCGACCGGCGCACGGGUGCGUAACAGGUGUGCAAUCUGUCCAUAAUCGGGGAAUAGCCCAGCGAAAGUUGGAUUAAUGCUCCAUGUGAGCAGGGGAGGCAUCUCCUUUGUUUGAAACGUAAGGAUUAUGGGUGAGCACGCUUCUGAUUAGGUAGUUGGUGAGGUAACGGCUCACCAAGCCGACGAUCAGUAGGGGUUCUGAGAGGAAGGUCCCCCACAUUGGAACUGAGACACGGUCCAAACUCCUACGGGAGGCAGCAGUGAGGAAUAUUGGUCAAUGGACGAAAGUCUGAACCAGCCAAGUCGCGUGAAGGAUGAAGGUUCUAUGGAUUGUAAACUUCUUUUGUCUGAGGGUAAAAAAGCGGACGUGUCCGUUCUUGCAAGUAUCAGACGAAUAAGCAUCGGCUAACUCCGUG